CAGAGACUGCAAGCGUUAUUCGGAUUCACUGGGCGUAAAGGGUGCGCAGGCGGUUGGGUGUGUCAGAUGUGAAAUCCCGAGGCUUAACCUCGGAACUGCGUCUGAAACUACUCGACUAGAGUACUGGAGAGGGUAACGGAAUUCACGGUGUAGCAGUGAAAUGCGUAGAUAUCGUGAGGAACACCAGAGGCGAAGGCGGUUACCUGGACAGUUACUGACGCUCAGGCACGAAAGCAUGGGGAGCAAAAGGGAUUAGAUACCCCUGUAGUCCAUGCCCUAAAGGGUGCACACUAGGUCUUAGCGGAUUCGACCCCACUAGGGCCCAAGCUAACGCGUUAAGUGUGCCGCCUGAGGACUACGGUCGCAAGACUA
Molecule: ribosomal RNA, 372 nt
Filed under: uncultured organism
Description: bacterial SSU rRNA
Rfam family: Bacterial small subunit ribosomal RNA
Source: RNAcentral